GCAAGUCGAACGAGAACGGGUAUAAGUUUACUUAUACUGUCAGCUAAGUGGCGCACGGGUGAGUAAUAUAUAGUUAACCUGCCUCAAAGAAGGGAAUAAUUGUUGGAAACGACUUGUAACUCCCUAUAUGCCUUUAUUACAUAAGUGAGCAAGGGAAAUAUUUAUAGCUUUGAGAUGGGACUGUACGGUAUCAGUUAGUUGGUGAGGUAAUGGCUCACCAAGACUAUGACGCCUAACUGGUUUGAGAGGAUGAUC
RNAcentral lists this ribosomal RNA (255 nucleotides) under uncultured bacterium. RNAcentral describes it as "partial 16S ribosomal RNA". It matches the Rfam family "Bacterial small subunit ribosomal RNA", at positions 57 to 305 of the family's 1533-position model. The record is from RNAcentral.